UUCCUUUGUGGGAAAAAGAUGUACAAAGUUUCCGGGGGGACCCCCCGGAAGAGGGC
This 56-nucleotide ribosomal RNA is filed under the name Leucocybe connata. Its description in RNAcentral is "partial 18S ribosomal RNA". Lineage: Eukaryota; Fungi; Basidiomycota; Agaricomycetes; Agaricales; Lyophyllaceae. The record is from RNAcentral.